AAAUUCCGGAGCUCAACUUGGAAACUGCCUUGGAUACUAUAGGUCUUGAAUAUCGUUGAGGUAGGCGGAAUAUGUCAUGUAGCGGUGAAAUGCUUAGAUAUGACAUAGAACACCGAUUGCGAAGGCAGCUUGCUAAACGAUUAUUGACGCUGAGGCACGAAAGCGUGGGGAUCAAACAGGAUUAGAUACCCUGGUAGUCCACGCCCUAANCGAUGAUUACUCGACAUACGCGAUAUACAGUGUGAGUCUGAGCGAAASSAUUAAGUAAUCCACCUGGGAAGUACGUCCGCAAGAUGAAACUCAAAGGAAUUGACGGGG
RNAcentral lists this ribosomal RNA (318 nucleotides) under uncultured Cytophagales bacterium. RNAcentral describes it as "bacterial SSU rRNA". It matches the Rfam family "Bacterial small subunit ribosomal RNA", at positions 597 to 918 of the family's 1533-position model. Lineage: Bacteria; Pseudomonadati; Bacteroidota; Sphingobacteriia; Sphingobacteriales. The record is from RNAcentral.